This 279-nucleotide ribosomal RNA is filed under the name uncultured bacterium. RNAcentral's name for it is "partial 16S ribosomal RNA". It matches the Rfam family "Bacterial small subunit ribosomal RNA", at positions 506 to 784 of the family's 1533-position model. The record is from RNAcentral.
UGCCAGCCGCCGCGGUAAUACGGAGGGUGCAAGCGUUGUUCGGAAUUAUUGGGCGUAAAGCGCGUGUAGGCGGUUCGUUAAGUCUGAUGUGAAAGCCCUAGGCUCAACCAAGGAAGUGCAUCUGAUACUGCGAGACUAGAGUUCCGGAGGGGGUGGCGGAAUUCCCGGUGUAGGGGUGAAAUCCGUAGAUAUUCGGAGGAACACCAGUGGCGAAGGCGGCUUUCUGGACCGAUACUGACGCUGAGGCGCGAAAGCGCGGGGAGCAAACCGGAUCAGAUA